RNAcentral lists this small RNA (92 nucleotides) under Salmonella enterica. RNAcentral's name for it is "partial RtT sRNA". It matches the Rfam family "RtT RNA", at positions 1 to 91 of the family's 130-position model. From Rfam's summary of the family: This family represents a bacterial cis-regulatory element known as RtT RNA. Lineage: Bacteria; Pseudomonadati; Pseudomonadota; Gammaproteobacteria; Enterobacterales; Enterobacteriaceae. The record is from RNAcentral.
AUAUCUCUCUGUACGGGAAGGAUGAGAAGCUUCGACUAAGGUUCGAUUCGAGCGCAGCGAGAAAGCGUUGCCAACGGCAACGACCCGAAGGG